GAUGAACGCUGGCGGCGUGCCUAAUACAUGCAAGUCGAGCGAACAGACGAGGCGCUUGCUCCUCUGACGUUAGCGGCGGACGGGUGAGUAACACGUGGAUAACCUACCUAUAAGACUGGGAUCACUUCGGGACACCGGAGAUAAUACCGGAUAAUCUCUUGAACCGCAUGGUUCAUUAGUGAAAGUCGGUUUUGCUGUCACUUAUAGAUGGAUCUGAGCCGCAUUAGCUAGUUGGUAGGGUCACGGGUUACCAAGGCAACGAUGCGUAGCCGACCUGAGUGGGUGAUCGCCCACACUGGAACGGAGACGCGGCCCAGGGGCCUACGGGAGGCACCAGUAGGGUACCUGACGCAAUAGGGGAAAACCUGGCGGAGCAGGGCGACGUCAGAUAGAAAGGUCCCGGGAGCGGAAAGCUCGGUUAUGAGUUGAAAACAGAUGUGUAAUGUACUGUGCACGUCUUGACGGUACCUAGUCAAAAAGCCACGGCUAACUACGUG
This 497-nucleotide ribosomal RNA is filed under the name uncultured bacterium. RNAcentral's name for it is "partial 16S ribosomal RNA". It matches the Rfam family "Bacterial small subunit ribosomal RNA", at positions 28 to 507 of the family's 1533-position model. The record is from RNAcentral.